CUUGGAGGCCUGCUUCUGAAGUCCUGUAGUCAUUCAUGACCUGGCAGGGAUUGCUCCAAGCCGUGUCAUUUGUGCACACAUGGAUAAGGAAUAUGGGAUAGUGGUCGGAGGGCUGGAUACAUUUUGGGAUUCUCUCAGCUAUAUCCCAGAUAUGGGCCCCUGGGAGGCAGCAGACCUCCCAGGCUAAGGGAUUGAGGUGGCAGAUUGCUCCCUCU
This is a long non-coding RNA of Gavialis gangeticus (Gharial), 215 nucleotides long. RefSeq lists it as uncharacterized. Lineage: Eukaryota; Metazoa; Chordata; Crocodylia; Gavialidae. The record is from RefSeq and is a predicted model, not a curated record. The transcript is spliced from 3 exons.